CCUGAUCACUUGCAUUUGAGAACCAGGUGGCUCCCUGGCGUACCUUCCCUUCCCAAGUUUUCAAGGACUCUCAAGCUGAAUCUCAUCUUUUUCCAGGGUCCCCCUGGCCUCCCAGGGCUGAAGGGAGAUGCUGGCCUCAAGGGGGAAAAGGGCCACAUUGGGCUCAUAGGCCUUGUUGGUCCUUCAGGGGAGGCCGGUGAGAAAGGCGAUCAGGGGUUGCCAGGAGUGCAGGGCCCUCCAGGCCCUCAGGGAGACAUUGGUCUUCCUGGUCCGGUUGGCUCAUUAGGACAUCCUGGUUCCCCAGGUGUGGUGGGCCCUCCGGGACAGAAGGGCUCCAAGGGGUCCCCGGUGAGUGACACUGCUCCUCUGGUCUCCACAUCCCAGCUCCCCGCCCCCCUCCACCUUACCCUCCCAGCCCCCUUCCUCCGUUCAGUGGUUCAAUCAUCCUGUCUUCAGCCCCUACUGUUGCAUUAUGGGAGUCUGAGGGGCUGUAAAAGGAAGGUGUUCUGCUGACUUGCGGCUUGCAGGAGAUGCUGUGUGUUGAUUUCAGAGACAAGGGAAGGGAACACACAGCUUAGGUUUAGUGCAGGACACAGGGAACCUCUCCUGGGCCCUGUGUGUACACAUAUAUGCAAAUGUAUGCACACAUGUGUACAUAUGUGUACUCUGCCCUAGAUGGGGAGAAAAACAUUCAAGGGUCCUGGUUUAAAGGGGGAAUGUGUGGUGAUGCUUUUAAUCCCAGCACUCGGGAGGCAGAGGCAGGCGGAUCUCUGUGAGCCCCAGGCCAGCCUGGGCUAGAGCGAGUUCCAGGACAGGCUUCAUAGCUACUGAGA
Long non-coding RNA from Alexandromys fortis (reed vole), 833 nucleotides. RefSeq lists it as uncharacterized. Lineage: Eukaryota; Metazoa; Chordata; Mammalia; Rodentia; Cricetidae. The record is from RefSeq and is a predicted model, not a curated record. The transcript is spliced from 4 exons.